This 254-nucleotide ribosomal RNA is filed under the name uncultured bacterium. Its description in RNAcentral is "partial 16S ribosomal RNA". It matches the Rfam family "Bacterial small subunit ribosomal RNA", at positions 524 to 776 of the family's 1533-position model. The record is from RNAcentral.
UACGUAGGGUGCGAGCGUUGUCCGGAAUUAUUGGGCGUAAAGAGCUCGUAGGCGGUCUGUCGCGUCGAUCGUGAAAACUUGGGGCUUAACUCUGAGCUUGCGGUCGAUACGGGCAUGACUGGAGUUCGGCAGGGGAGACUGGAAUUCCUGGUGUAGCGGUGAAAUGCGCAGAUAUCAGGAGGAACACCGAUGGCGAAGGCAGGUCUCUGGGCCACUACUGACGCUGAGAAGCGAAAGCAUGGGGAGCGAACAGG